AGAGUUUGAUCCUGGCUCAGAUUGAACGCUGGCGGCAUGGCUAAAACAUGCAAGUCGAACGCGAAAGGGGGCAACCCCGAGUAGAGUGGCGAAAGGGCGAGUAAUGCGUUUCUAACGUGCCCCGAGGUGAGGGAUAGCUCUCCGAAAGGAGAAUUAAUACCUCAUAACCCUGCGAGACUGUAUGGUUUUGCAGGCAAAGGCUUGCUGCCUCGGGAGCGGGGAACGUCCUAUCAGAUAGUUGGUGAGGUAACGGCUCACCAAGUCUAAGACGGGUAGCGGGUGUGAGAGCACGGCCCGCCGCAUCGGGACUGAGACACUGCCCGGACUCCUACGGGAGGCUGCAGUAACGAAUAUUCCCCAAUGGCCGCAAGGCUGAGGGAGCGAUGCCGCGUGGAGGAUGAAGCCCCUCGGGGUGUAAACUCCUGUCAGGGUUUAGAAAAACAAUGAUCAAACCCAGAGGAAGAGGCGACUAACUCUGUGCCAGCAGUCGCGGUAAUACAGAGGCCUCGAGCGUUAAUCGGAAUCACUGGGCUUAAAGGGUGCGUAGGCGGCGCUGCAAGUGCCUUGUGAAAUCCCAUCGCUUAACGAUGGAACUGCUCGGUAGACUGCAGUGCUUGAGGUUGGUAGGGGCUGCCGGAACUCUAGGUGGAGCGGUGAAAUGCGUAGAUAUCUAGAGGAACGCCCAAGGCGAAGGCAGGCAGCUGGGCCAAUUCUGACGCUGAGGCACGAAAGCGUGGGGAGCAAACGGGAUUAGAUACCCCCGUAGUCC
RNAcentral lists this ribosomal RNA (769 nucleotides) under uncultured bacterium. RNAcentral describes it as "bacterial SSU rRNA". It matches the Rfam family "Bacterial small subunit ribosomal RNA", at positions 8 to 796 of the family's 1533-position model. The record is from RNAcentral.